RNAcentral lists this long non-coding RNA (1523 nucleotides) under Numida meleagris (helmeted guineafowl). RNAcentral's name for it is "lncRNA (ENSNMEG00000014991.1)". The record is from RNAcentral. Lineage: Eukaryota; Metazoa; Chordata; Aves; Galliformes; Numididae.
GGAGUAUGUCCUCCCAGAGGAAGAACAGCUGUGAAGCUCCUGUGUCACAGCCCAAACUGCAACACAGAGUGUGUUUGCGUGUCUGCAGCUAGACACUGUGCUGCAAAUUUUCAGCCUUCUUUCACAGUAUUUAUGACAGCUACAGCAGCUUUGGGAAAUGAGAUGUCUUUGGCAUGAACACCUGGAUCACUCUGGUGGGAUAACAGAUUUAGGUGCCAAACUGCUUUGCUGAAUGCCCACUCAGCUCUGGGAUCCUGGUUUCUUUUUACCCCCGUGGCUUUGUCCGCAAUUGCAAAUGCUGUUAGAGGUUAUCCUCCAGUGACUUCAGAGAAAAUGGCCUUUACUUGAAGCUUACUUAUUCCAAAACUGUUUUCUCCUUCUUGUUACCUAUUUCUAUCCUUCCCUGACAACACAUACACACUAUUUUUUAGAUAUUUUUUCUUCAUUUAUUUCAGAAACUAAUGCUAACUCCUAUUUUUCUGUUGCAGCUUUUUCUGUACCCGUUCCCCAACUGAAUCUCUUGGGCAGAGAAAGAACGUGUACCUGUGCCCCUUACAACAUGGCCUUGGGCAGCAGAAAGGUUUACAGAUCACAUAUGGAACUUUAUGCCUUCAGGCUGAGGGACUGCAGGAAGGGCGGUGAGGCUGCAAUAGAGCAGUCCUGCCAAAGGCAAGUACUAGCAAGUAGUACAAACUGUAAUCCUGUAUUAAUCCUUAAUAGAUUAUAGGUCUUCCAAGGUCAGCAAUGGAGGUUUAAAAACAGACUCUUCAAACUUCAGCUGUUCCCUCCUGGAUCUCCUAAGUGUAAGUGCCAGCUGCACCCAUCACCUGUCCUUGCAAGAGGUAGAGCAGGACCCCCAGAGAAAUGCUGUGUUACAUAGUCUGUUAGCAGUGAACACAUUGGGAGAUGUUCAUUUACCACAUCUGUGUUAUUUGUUCUGCAGGUGCAGGAAUACACAGCACACACGAGGCUCCAUCCAGCCCUGAGCCGGGCUCCUCACCUUCAUCCUGGCUUCAGAUUCACAGCAAGAGCAGGGGAAGAUGGGCAGGUUCCCACAGCUGCAGCUCUGGAUCCUACAUCCUGUAGCUCGGUCUCACCCAGCUCCUCAUGUGGCUGGGAGAGCACUGUCAUGUCUGGGCCGCUCUAGCUAGUCCCUGCCACUCUCUUGUUUUUCUCUUUUGAUUCUUUCAGUCACCUGUAAUUUUCCCUCCACUUCAGUUGUAGUCCCCAGAAUCAUUUGUUUCCCUUCAUUUUUCUUUCCAAGGCUAUUUUAGGGUUUGGUUGCUCUAGAAUCUGGGGGAAAAUCAGUAAGAUUUUUUGUUUCUGCUUGAUUUGUGACAGGAAACAUGACUACAUUGCAUUAUUUUUUUUUUUAAGUUAUUCCUAGUUCUUUGUAACUUCCACACCAUUGAGCUGUGGUUAGUUUUUGCUUAGUUUUUCUUGUAUGUGUAUUGUAGCUAAAUUCUUGCAUGUUUAGCUGAAAGAAAAAAAAUAAAGCAGGCUUUAUAAUGAUAUUUUUUCCA